UAUGACGGGUAGGUGGACUGAGAGGUUGGUCACCCACACUGGGACUGAGAACUGCCCAGACUCCUACGGGAGGCUGCAGUCGAGAAUCUUCCGCAAUGGGCGAAAGCCUGACGGAGCAAUGCCGCGUGCAGGAUGAAGGCCUUCGGGUCGUAAACUGCUGUCACAGGGGAUGAACGCAAUGACAGUACCCUGGGAGGAAGCCACGGCUAACUACGUGCCAGCAGCCGCGGUAAUACGUAGGUGGCGAGCGUUGUUCGGAUUUAUUGGGCGUAAAGGGUUCGUAGGAGGUUUUGUAAGUUCGAUGUGAAAUCCCGUGGCUCAACUGCGGAACUGCAUUGAAAACUGCUGAACUUGAGUGUCAUAGAGGAGAGCGGAAUUCCUGGUGUAGCGGUGGAAUGCGUAGAUAUCAGGAAGAACAUCGAUAGCGAAAGGCAGCUCUCUGGGUGACUACUGACUCUGAGGAACGAAAGCGUGGGGAGCAAACAGGAUUAGAUACCCUG
This 500-nucleotide ribosomal RNA is filed under the name uncultured bacterium. RNAcentral describes it as "bacterial SSU rRNA". It matches the Rfam family "Bacterial small subunit ribosomal RNA", at positions 275 to 789 of the family's 1533-position model. The record is from RNAcentral.